ACCUGAUUGAUCUUGUCAGUUGUAUAUGCUUCUCUUAAAGAUUAAACCAUGCAAAUCUAAGUAAAUUGGAUUUUAAAAUAGAAACGGUAGAGAGCUCAUUAAAACAGUUUGAAAGAAUAGGAAUAACUUUGUAAGUCUUCGGAUUUAUAAAACAGGAUAUUCCAUCGAAUUGAUGAAUUAAUACGUUGUAGCAAGAACUCGAAAGAUCGCAAGAUUGAGAGUGAAUUUAUUUAAAAGAGAUUCGGGGUUAGAAUCUCCGUAACUAGGAGUAGUUAUAAAUGAUCAUAUCGAUUAAGGUUAACUUUUUCGAUGUUACCUGUCUCAAACUGAUUUAUCAACUAUGUCUGUCGUACCUUGGACAACAGAGGUAUUUACGGAUAACGAAAGAUUAGAGUUUGAUUUCGGAGAGGUGGCCUGAGACACUGCCACCACUUCUAAGGAAGGCAGCAGGUGCGAAAAUUACUCAAUGACACAUCGUCGAAGUAGUGACGAGAAAUACCAGAAUUGGGCCCGUAUGGGACAGUGUCUGGGAUGAUUACAAUUUAAAAACCUUAAAUAGAAACCAUUAGAGGGCAAGUCUGGUGCCAGCAGCCGCGGUAAUUCCAGCUCUAAGAGUGUAUCUGAAAGUUGUUGCAGUUAAAACGUUCGUAGCUAAUAUUAAUAAAGUUAGCUUUUCAAACGAUCAGAAAUGAAAGGAUGAAAUUUAGACUUUAUAAAGCUGCUAAUAAUUUGCAAGUGUCUUGGAAACUCGAUAACUGCCUGCUAUGCCUUAAAAACAUAGUAGUUUAUUAGCAAGGAUUAACUUUGAAUAAAUUUGGGUGUUCAAAACAAGCUAUAAAGCUUUGAAAACAUUAGCAUGGUAUUACAAAAUACGAUAGUUUCGGCAUUAACUCAAGGCCUCAAAACCUUGUGUCGGACUAUAAUGAAAAAAGAGAGUUGUUGGGGUCACCUUUAUUCUUUGGGGAAGGGUGAAAUCUUAUGAUCCAAAGAAGAAACACUAAGGCGAAAGCACCUAGACCAGGAUGUUUUUGUCAGUCAAGAUCGAAAGUAGAGGGCGCGAAGAUGAUUAGAUACCGUCGUAGUCUCUACAGUAAACUAUGUUGAUUUAGGAUGAUAGAUCAUUUUUUUAUGAUCUCUAUUGAACUAUACGAGAAAUC
Molecule: ribosomal RNA, 1157 nt
Filed under: uncultured soil eukaryote
Lineage: Eukaryota
Description: SSU rRNA
Rfam family: Eukaryotic small subunit ribosomal RNA
Source: RNAcentral